GAUGAACGCUAGCGGGAGGCUUAAUACAUGCAAGUCGAGCGGCAAGUUUUGAUAGCAAUAUUGGAACCUAGAGCGGCGCACGGGUGAGUAACGCGUACAUGACCUGCCCUAUACUGGGGGAUAGUCUUGGGAAACUGAGAAUAAUCCCGCAUGUGAUUAGAAUGCUGCAUGGCAAAUUAUUAAAGCUGAGGCGGUAUAGGAUGGGUGUGCGUCUGAUUAGCUAGUUGGUAGUGUAACGGCCCACCAAGCCGACGAUCUGUAGCUGGUCUGAGAGGACGACCAGCCACACUGGGACUGAGACACGGCCCAGACUCCUACGGAGGCAGCAGUGGGGAAUUUUGGACAAUGGGCGCAAGCCUGAUCCAGCAAUGCCGCGUGCAGGAUGAAGG
Molecule: ribosomal RNA, 389 nt
Filed under: uncultured bacterium
Lineage: Bacteria
Description: bacterial SSU rRNA
Rfam family: Bacterial small subunit ribosomal RNA
Source: RNAcentral